GAAUUUAGUAGAAUCUUAAUUAAAACACAUUUUCAAACUCCUUGGAUGCUCAUCUCAUCUAAAGAAAUCAAGAUAAUUUCCACCGUAAACAUCAAGCUUCAGUUGAGCCAUCAAAUGGAAAAAGGAACUCAGGCAAUGUCUCAUGCACCACACCCAAUAGGUUACAAUGGAGGAGGGUGAUGGAAGACAUCUAAGACCCACCUACAGAGGAAGAUCUGGUGGGCAUGCAGGGAGAGCCAAGCCUGCAGAGCCUAGUGGGCAUCUAAGCCCACUCUGACCAGCCUGGGUCCUUGGAGCAGUGGCAAACUAGACUGGAUCUGAGAACAAGUGGCUUCUUCCUCUGCUCUAGUGGCUGUCGUUCCUCCUCUGGCUGGUGGCUGCAGAUGUCACUGCAUCACUUCCAUUCAGUUCACAUUUUCAGAGUUUUUCUUUGCAAGCUGGAGGGAGUAGAAGCAUUUUUUGUUAAAUGAAAGCUGAGGUUCUGGUCCGAUCGCUGCCUCCACCUGCAUGGAAACUGGAGAGUGGAGCCUGCAUUGAAGAAGGGAAGAGUCUGAAGGAGACACUAGAAAGUUACUCUGUGCAGAUGGUUAGGAAUGCUAAGGUGCAGGAGGAGCAGCUCCAGCAAUAGUUGCUCUAAUAAGGAGCCAGUUUUGUUUAAUAGAAAUGGAAUGUUCUCCUUAACCAGUCACAUGUCUUCCUGCUCAUACCCCUGCCUUAAUCCAGCCCUAGCUUUGGGUGUGUCCAAACUUCACUGAGGGGAGACCAGCUGAGCACACUUACAGUGAACACCUAGCAUGAGUAGCGUCUCAUGUUAAUCUCUCAGGUAGGCACUGAAUUGUGGGCAGAGCUGAGAAUAGCACUCUCCUUUUCGCAAUUCAAGCUCUGCUUUUGUUUCUAUAUUUGUUAUUACCCUUGUCUUAUGUCUCAGAGCCUUGUUAAGCUUGACUACAGUACAUAAUAAAUGAAUAACUGUAAAGACAAA
Long non-coding RNA from Dermochelys coriacea (leatherback sea turtle), 982 nucleotides. RefSeq lists it as uncharacterized. Lineage: Eukaryota; Metazoa; Chordata; Testudines; Dermochelyidae. The record is from RefSeq and is a predicted model, not a curated record. The transcript is spliced from 2 exons.